Molecule: non-coding RNA, 189 nt
Organism: Tinamus guttatus (white-throated tinamou)
Lineage: Eukaryota; Metazoa; Chordata; Aves; Tinamiformes; Tinamidae
Source: RefSeq, a predicted model, not a curated record
AGAUCUUCACACGCCUGGGCAAGUGCUACACGUUCAACUCGGGGGAGCCGGGCACCGAGCUGCUGACCACGCUGCAGGGCGGCGCGGGGAACGGCCUGGAGCUCAUGCUCAACAUCCAGCAGGAGGAAUACCUGCCCGUGUGGGGCGACACGGACGAGACGUCCUACGAGGCCGGCGUGAAGGUGCAGA